Molecule: ribosomal RNA, 803 nt
Filed under: uncultured Spirochaetales bacterium
Lineage: Bacteria; Pseudomonadati; Spirochaetota; Spirochaetia; Spirochaetales
Description: bacterial SSU rRNA
Rfam family: Bacterial small subunit ribosomal RNA
Source: RNAcentral
GUCUUAAGCUGCAAGUCGAGCGGCAGCACUUCGGGUGGCGAGCGGCGAACUGGUGAGGAACACGUAGAUUAUCUGCCUCAUAGACGGGGAUAGCUCCUGGAAACAGGAAUUAAUACCCGAUAAGAGUAUACUCGAAAGCGGCGUUUGCCGCACUAUGAGAUGAGUCUGCGUCCCAUUAGCUUGUUGGUGAGGUAAAGGCUCACCAAGGCGACGAUGGGUAGCCGGCCUGAGAGGGUGAUCGGCCACAUCGGGACUGAGAUACGGCCCGGACUCCUACGGGAGGCAGCAGCUAAGAAUAUUCCGCAAUGGGCGAAAGCCUGACGGAGCAAUCCCGCGUGGAGGAUGAAGGCAUUCGUGUUGUAAACUCCUUUCGGCGUAGAAGAAUAAGGUCUAUAGGAAAUGAUAGGCUGAUGACGGUAUACGCAGAAGAAGCACCGACUAACUACGUGCCAGCAGUCGCGGUAAUACGUAGGGUGCAAACGUUGCUCGGAAUCACUGGGCGUAAAGGGUACGUAGGUGGCCUAAUAAGUAGGUGGUGAAAUCCUGGGGCUUAACUCCAGGGCUGCCAUCUAAACUGUUAGGCUCGAGUUGUAAUAUGGGUGACAGGAAUUUCUAGUGUAGGAGUGAAAUCUGUAGAUAUUAGAAGGAACACCAAUAGCGAAGGCAAGUCACUGGGUAACAACUGACACUAAGGUACGAAAGCUAGGGGAGCAAAUGGGAUUAGAGACCCCAGUAGUCCUAGCCGUAAACGCUGCACACUAGCUUUAUGGACUCUAAGUCUAUAUAGCAAAGCUAACGCGUUA